Molecule: ribosomal RNA, 810 nt
Filed under: uncultured Campylobacterota bacterium
Lineage: Bacteria; Pseudomonadati; Campylobacterota
Description: bacterial SSU rRNA
Rfam family: Bacterial small subunit ribosomal RNA
Source: RNAcentral
AAUAACAGUUGGAAACGACUGCUAAUGCUUUAUAUGCCUCUAUCACAUAAGUGAGCGAGGGAAAGAAUUUCGGUAAGGGAUCGGCCUGUACGGUAUCAGCUAGUUGGUGAGGUAAUGGCUCACCAAGGCAAUGACAUCUAACUGGUUUGAGAGGAUGAUCAGUCACACUGGAACUGAGACACGGUCCAGACUCCUACGGGAGGCAGCAGUGGGGAAUAUUGCACAAUGGAGGAAACUCUGAUGCAGCAACGCCGCGUGGAGGAUGACACAUUUCGGUGCGUAAACUCCUUUUAUAUAAGAAGAUAAUGACGGUAUUAUAUGAAUAAGCUCCGGCUAACUCCGUGCCAGCAGCCGCGGUAAUACGGGGGGAGCAAGCGUUACUCGGAAUCACUGGGCGUAAAGAGCAUGUAGGCUGGUAGAAAAAGUAGAAGUGAAAUCCUGUGGCUUAACCAUAGAACUGCUUCUAAACUCUCUACCUAGAAAUAUGGAGAGGUAGAUGGAAUUUCUGGUGUAGGGGUAAAAUCCGUAGAGAUCAGAAGGAAUACCGAUUGCGAAGGCGAUCUACUGGAACAUUAUUGACGCUGAGAUGCGAAAGCGUGGGGAGCCAACAGGGAUAGAUACCCUGGGAAGCCACGCCCCUAACGAUGCACACUAGUUGUUGCGAUGCUAAACAUUGCAGUAAUGCAGUUAACACAUUAAGUGUGCCGCCCUGGGAGACGGGGCGCAGAAAAAACCCCAAGGAAAAGACGGGACCCCGCCAGCGGUGGAGCUGUGGUUUAAUUCACCAAACCCAAAAACCUUACCUGGCCU